CUUCCCUUUUUCUGCUACAGUUUCACAGUAACAUGAGCAGUUGUACAUAUAGGAUAAAAUAAUAUUAGGACAUUGUAAAUGGAGAUGAAGUCAUCAUUUCCAUCUCUUCUGCAUGGACUAGACAUUG
This 127-nucleotide small nucleolar RNA is filed under the name Carlito syrichta (Philippine tarsier). Its description in RNAcentral is "Small nucleolar RNA SNORA20 (ENSTSYG00000033159.1)". It matches the Rfam family "Small nucleolar RNA SNORA20". Rfam says of the family: ACA20 is a member of the H/ACA class of snoRNA that guide the sites of modification of uridines to pseudouridines. The record is from Rfam by way of RNAcentral. Lineage: Eukaryota; Metazoa; Chordata; Mammalia; Primates; Tarsiidae.